CCUACGGGAGGCAGCAGUGGGGAAUUUUGGACAAUGGGGGCAACCCUGAUCCAGCCAUGCCGCGUGAGUGAAGAAGGCCUUCGGGUUGUAAAGCUCUUUCGGCCGGAACGAAAUCGCGCACGUGAAUAACGUGCGUGGAUGACGGUACCGGAGUAAGAAGCACCGGCUAACUACGUGCCAGCAGCCGCGGUAAUACGUAGGGUGCGAGCGUUAAUCGGAAUUACUGGGCGUAAAGCGUGCGCAGGCGGUUCGCUAAGUCAGACGUGAAAGCCCCGGGCUUAACCUGGGAACGGCGUUUGAAACUGGCGGGCUCGAGUACGGCAGAGGGGGGUGGAAUUCCACGUGUAGCAGUGAAAUGCGUAGAUAUGUGGAGGAACACCGAUGGCGAAGGCAGCCCCCUGGGCCGAUACUGACGCUCAUGCACGAAAGCGUGGGGAGCAAACAGGAUUAGAUACCCUGGUAGUCCACGCCCUAAACUAUGUCAACUAGUUGUCGGGGAAGCAAUUCCUUGGUAACGCAGCUACGACGUGAGUGACCGCCGUCGGGAGGUACGGUCGCGAGAUAAACUACAAGAAGUAGACGGCGUGAGAGUGCCGACGGACGACGACGAGGGAGGUAGG
This 620-nucleotide ribosomal RNA is filed under the name uncultured bacterium. RNAcentral's name for it is "bacterial SSU rRNA". The stretch from base 1 to 540 matches the Rfam family "Bacterial small subunit ribosomal RNA", at positions 338 to 873 of the family's 1533-position model. The record is from RNAcentral.